AGGCCAGACCCAGAGAAGGGCUCAGGAGGCGGGGCCGGGGCGGGGCGUUGACUAUGUCGUAGCACAUGGCCAGGCGGUGCGCGGACUCUGGGAGGCGGAGCUUAGGACGCGCCGACGUAGGGAGGGGCCCAGGGUCCGGGAGGCGGGGCCGAGUCCGGGCUGCGGGCUGCGCUCAGGAGGCGGGCCCUGGGAGGCGGAGCUUGGGGGGAGCCGGUGUCGGGAGGGACCCAGGGACUGGGAGGCCGGACGGGGCUGGGCUCAGGGGCCGAGACUUAGCUAGGCUUGGGGCGGGGCCGAGACGGAGCGAGGGGUCUAGGGUGUGGGAAACGGGGAGGGGUUUGAGGAGGGGAUCGGAAUGUGGCUCAAGUUUGGGAGGCGUUACCUGCGGAGGGUUUGAGGCAGGCCCAGGAACGAGCCCACGGUCUGCCGACGCAUGGCCAGGGGCGGGCCCCAGGAUCCGGAGUUUCAGGAGGGGCCGAGUCCGGGUUUGGGGCCCGGGAGGCGGGGCCAGUUAGGGCGAGGGUCCCUGGGAUCGUCGGGUCAGGCCUUGGGCUAACGGAGGCACUCUCGCAGUUCCUCCGCUUUCAGGAAGUUCUUUUUAGCAGGGGCCUUACGGGUGCGCGCUUCGGUCCUGGAGGACUUAUCCUAGCCUCCUCUCCAUCAGUGCCACCCGUCUGGGGACCGAAAGGAGGGAGCUUUCCCUCUGUCCCCCAGCCUUUGGACUGUCAACAAACAAGCCAUUCAUUCACCAAAUACUUAUUAAGCGUCUACCAUGUGCCUGACAAGGGAGAUGUAACGGGAGAAAAACUAGGUGUGGUCCAGGCCCUCCAGGGGCUGAGGGGCUCGUGGAAGAAGUGGACAUUGAAGUACUUAUCACACAAAUGAGUAUAAAAGUACAAUAGCGAUAUCUGCCACGAAGUCCCUGUAUCCUGAGAUGGAGUCACCUGAGAAUCCACAGCAAGUCCUAACCAGGGAUGGGUCUGGGUGUUUAUGGAAGGUUGGCUUCAGAACUGGGCCAGGGGCACUGCUUUGCUUUUGCUGUUUUGAUCAGCUCUCUGCCUGCAGGAGACAAGGAAAACCAAUGGGAACAGAUAGGGCCUCUCUCUCUGCCACCCAGACCAGAGUGCAGUUGACGCAGGGCAGAGGAGCCCCGAAGUGGAGCAUAGUGUGUCCGGAACUGGUGGGUUCUUGGUCUCACUGACUUCAAGAAUGAAGCCACGGACCCAGGAGAGAUGAGGUCUCGCUAAUUUGCCCAGGCUGGUCCUGAACUCCUGGGUUCAAGUAAUUCUCCUGCCUCAGCCUCUCAAAGUGCUGGGAUUACAGGCGUGAGACACCAUGCCAGGCUGGUGGUGAGUUUUAAAAUUUUCCAGUGUCUCAGUGUUUCUACCUGUAGAAUGCCAAAAAGUAGAUGACAUCUUUGCGAGGAUUAAGCCGACUAGCUUUUUUUAAUUUUUUUUUGAGACAGAAUUUCUCUCUUGUCACCCAGGCUGGAGUGCAAUGGCGUGAUCUUGGCUCACUGCAACCUCUGCCUCCUGGAUUCAAGUGAUUCUCCUCUCUCAGCCUCCAAGUAGCUGGGAUUACAAAGCCAGCUAGCUUUAAGAUACAGUGUUAGGCAUCACAUUUUGGCACGGAGCAGGCACUCUUUUCUUUGCCCUCAGGUGGGACUAAGCCACCACAAGCCUUCCCUGGUGUGUGCAGUGGGUGAUGAAUGCUUGCCUGCUCAGCACCCACUACAUGGUGGGCUGGGUCACAUUACUCUGACUCCCCCUUGAGCUUCAGUCCGUGCCUGGUUCAAGAUGUAUUGACUCAACUCGAGGAUCCAGAGGUGGGAUGUGGCUCUGGCCUGGCCAGAGGACCGAAGAUGCUGCAUGCCAUGGCUACAGCAACUGGUUCAGCUUUGGGCUCAUAUCCUUGUCAGAGCCAAUGAGAUGUAAUCUUGGGAUAUCUGCUGGGCUGUUGGGAAGGGGACAGGCUGCCCUGCUCAUCCCCAUUCCUGAUGCUUAGGGAUCUGAGAAAAUCACUUUUAAAAUUUGGGUGUUUGGAAGACGGGGAGACUGAUGUCUCCUUCUCUCUAUAGACAUCUGAUCAGCUACAGAGCUUGACUGACCUACCCAGAGACAGAAUGAUAUGGUGGUUAAAAGUGUGCCCUGGGCCGAGAUCUUGCCACUGCACUCCAGCCUGGGUGACAGAGUGAGACUCCGUCUCAAAAGAAAAAAAAAAAAGUGUGCUCUGGGCUGGGCGUGGGAGCUUAUGACUGUAAUCCCAGCACUUUGGGAGGCUGAGGCAGGAGGAUCCCUUGAAGUCAGGAGUUUGGGAUCAGACCCUAUCUCUAGAAAAAUGUUUUAAAAAUUAGCUGGGUUGGUGGUGAAUGCCUGUAGUCCCAGCCACUCAGGAGGCUGAGGCGGGAAGAUUGCUGGAGCCUGGGAGUUCAAGGCUGCAGUGAGCCAUGAUCAGGCCACUGCACUCCAGUUUGAGGGACAGAUAGAGACCCCAUCUCCCUAAAGCACAAAAAAGUAUGCUCUGGUGCCGCACUGCCUGGUUAGAUCCUUUGUCCACCACUUAGAUGCAUGUUAUAUAAAUGCUCUCCUCAGUUUCCUCAUCUGUAACUUGGGGAUGAUAAUGCUGCCCCAUUAAGUGGUUAUGGGGACUAAAUGCAUGUGGGCACAUUGGUAAGUAUUCAACAAGCUUGAUUUUUCCUGGAGAGGGAGAAAGAGCAUACAGUGAAGUGGCAUGGUCAGGUGCAUUGGGGCAAGAAUUAUUUCCUCUGGCUUCUGCCUCCUGGGAGGUACUAAGGAUGGAUCUGAAAUGUGUCUGCAGACCCCAGAGUUGGGGACUGCAGAGGGAAAUUGAGAUCAGGGACCCCAGUCUGGCAGAAAUGGGUGCAGCAUGGGGCAUUGGGUUCCUUCCAUCAGAGGCAUGGGGUGUGUUGGAGACAGUCAUGAGAUGUGGCUGAAUCUUGCAAGGGAGCUGCAGUCCUAGGGUUGCUGCUUGAGACAAUGACCACUGUCAGUGGAACCUGGUGACCUUCACCCUUCUGUGUCAGGCUGCAGACAGCAAGAGAUGGCAGGAGAUUACACCCAACAGGAAAAGGGCCAUUGCUAUCCCACAGGUUGCCAUAGGAGGAGAUGACAUCUCUUCCCUCUCCUCCUCCAGCAGUGUCAGCUGGGGAAGAGGUGGGUGGGGGUGCACAAAAGAGUAGACCACAGACCAUGCUCCUUCUCCUCCAGUCUGCUGGGGCCCCAAGAGAGUCUGCAGCCCUUGGCCAGGGACCAGCUGAUACAGGAGAACAAAAGAUCUCAGUCUGGGAUAACAUGGUGGUGCAGCUGAUCCUCUGGAACUCCCUGUGAGAUCAGACUGGAGCCAGUCUCCAACUGAGACCACAUCUCACUUAGCUCCUUCCCUGCCAUAUCCUGUUUUCCUUACUCCUAUCUACUGAGAGUCCUGAAUGAAUUACAUGCACUCAAUCCCUGCCUCAGGCUCUGCUUUUAGGGAACUUGACCUAAGACAGAUAUCUUAGUACUAAAUACUUUGCAAGGCCUCAGAAGCUCUGCUAUUCACAGGCAGGUGAGAUAUUACCUUCCCUACCACCUGGCAGUCAUAGUCUAUGAUGUGAUUCAGCUUUGUGGAAGUGCUUCUGUAAAGAACUUCCCCUAACUUAAGAUGAUCUUAAUUUGCUUACUUGUUUACUGUCCAUUUAGCUGCUCUAAAAUGUGAGCUCCAAAUCAGGGGCCAUGUCUGGUUGGUUACCCAUUUCCUGGGACCUAGAAUGGGCCUAGCUCAGAGCAUGUGCUCACUAUUGAUGGAAUGCAUGUUGAAAGAAUGCAUGAAUCUCAUCUCCUUUUGUGGGUGAAAAACUCAUCCUAUUCUCACUCCUGAUUAACUUUCCUUUUUUUUUUUUUUUUUUUUUUUUCAAAACGGAGCCAUGAUCUGUCACCCAGGCUGGAGUGCAAUGGUGCGAUCUCGUCUCGCUGCAACCUCUGCCUUCUGGAUUAAAGCAAUUCUCCUGCCUCAGCCUCCCGGGUAGCUGGGAUUACAGUUGCAUGCCACCACGCCAGGCUAAUUUUUUGUAUUUUUAAUAGAGACAGGGUUUCACCGUGUUGGCCAGGCUUGUCUUGAACUCCUGACCUCGUGAUCUGCCUGCUUUGGCCUCCCAAAUUCCUGGGAUUACAGGCAUGAGCCACCGUACCCAGCCACUCUUGAUUAACUUAAUGGAAAUAUUUACAGAGAUUCUUUCUCUUCUGGGUUCUAGAGUCUUAUCUGUAACCUCUGCAGGUAAUACAUUUUCCUUCCUGAUAAAAUUAUUUCUAUGGUUGCUUUUACUUGCAAAUCCUCUAAUACUUAUUUAUUCCAUUUCUGAUUGGCAUUAGACAUAAUUCUCAAUUUUUAGUGACAGCACUUUUGUUAACUUACAUAUCAAUCGACUUUGCCUUGAAAUGUGACAUUGACUAGAAGGAUGAAACUUCUAACAUGCUGUAGAACAUAGUUUCACUGGCUAACUUAUUAUUUAGAAGAAGCUAAUAUUGCCAUUAUGAGGGACUUAGGUGGCUCUGAAGAACCAGUUGUAUUUCUGAUGUUUGCAAUGUUAAAUCACAGAUAUUGCCAAUGUGAAAUAGUUUCCUUAUGCUGUGUUCUCAAUACACCUUUUCCAAAGAUAUCCCAAGCUGUAGUCUUAGGAAACUGUGAUUUUUCUUAUUUGGUCUCAUAGAAAUUUGGGGAGAUAUGCGGGAUCUCCAUAAAAUGAGCUCCAGAAAGACACGUGUGUACAUGCACACACACUCACACACACACUCACACAUGUACCACACCACACUUGACUCUGUUUAUUUGGGACCCACGAUUAUCAGAAGUGCUAUUUUCAACAAACACUUCUGAGAAAUAAUCUGAACACUUAAUUGGAUGCAAAAGAGUGAGUAUUUACUAUUCUACCCUUUAAUUAGCAUAAUCAGUGUUUCCAGCAGCAAAAGCAAUUGGAAAAUCGCUAGUUUUAUUAGGUUCAUUAUUCUCCCUUAUCGUAGUGUGGCAUCAGCAUGGCUAUUAUUCUUAAAUUGCCUCUUUAAAACAAGGGCUGGUGCUUCUUACAGGCAAUUACUAACUCUUGGGUUUUGUAGAGAGCCCAAAACUCUUUAGACCCUAUAAUUCAAGGAAAGGCUCCACUUUGGUUUUGCAUUUUGUCUGGUGUCUUUGGCUGACAGAAUUUAUGUCACAAGGUGCACAUGUUUCGGGGAGGCUCAUGGACAGCCCAUCGUGCUUGUGCUUUGGUAGGAAGUACGUGCCAUUAAGGGGAAGGAGUUAGUUACUGAUUCUAGGGAACAAUUGGGUAGAAAGAGAUGGACUCCCUGUGUUUGAAAUUCAAAACUCAAGCUUGGCUCUAAGUGUUUCCUUGCUUUGCUUUGCUCCAGGGGAGUCACUGAGCAGAAGGAAGUGAGUUGCCUGAGAUUCUUCAAAGCCCCAGCCCUUUUGGAGGUUACAUUGUUAUUCUCAGAGCCUUUAUGAUGCAUAAUAAAGACCUAGCUUGGACCAAUAUUAGGAUGAGUUAUCUUGCUAUUAACAUUCUUUUAGGUAGAAGUUGCUGGUCCCAUCUUGCUCACAAUCCUCCAAAGUUUGAAAGUUAUUUUCCAGGAGACUUGGCUUGCACUGAGAGCUGCCCUCCCACCCUCUCUCCAAAUUUCCACUUCGGGGUAGCCUAACAAGGUGCUGUCACAGACCCUUGUCAGCCACGAUGACCCCACCCAGACCAUCCCUCUGCUGUUUCACUCUUUGAUACUCUCUGGAGCUCUCUGGGGAGGGGUGAGACCUGCCGUCUUCUUUGUACGGUUUGCCCAGGUCUUACGGUCAUGGCUGGCUGCUUCUCUCUGAGAACUGGGACUCCUGAACUUGGUGAAAUACCUCAGCCAUCGAUCAUGUUGAAUUAUUGGGGACACUCAUUUAAAAUCCGAGCCUGUUCCAGAUAGACUCUCUCUCUUUCUGCCCUGACCGUGAGAGAAGCCCUGCUGGAUGGUGGAGAUGCUAGUGGGCUGUGAGCAAGGGAUGCAAAGGCUGCCGGGAAUCCCAUCUUUCCAGCAUCAUCUGCUAAAGCACAUUAGUUCCUGGGUAUCUGGAUGGGUUCUAGCAGCAUUACUGUCAUUGAAGGAAAAAUGAUAGCCAUAUUAAAGGUUAAUGCAGCAAUCUCCAAAUAGGCUGCCUCGAAGGGACGCAGGACAAGGGUAGGUUUUCCUUGUGAUGGACAGGAGGCAGGCGGCCCUCCCACGGCCCUGCCUGGCAAUGCAGGUGUGUCCCCAAAAGACACUGGGGGCCAGCUGGAGUGCUAUGCCGAGGCGGGCUGACCUGGGCCGUGGGUUCGCUGAUUGCAGCGGUUUCCUGCCAGCUCCUUGGAGAGCUGGCAGAUGGCCCAGCCCCACAGCAGGAUCCGCGAAUGGCAGAGCGAGAUACAACAAUUUGAUAUCCACUUGCCAGAGGAGCCCGGUGUCGUCAGUCGCCUGGCUCUGUGCCCAACUUCUUUUUGCAUAAACACUUAUGAAUUCAGCCAAGAGGAAAAGCACUCUGAUUAUUAAUUGAGCAGAAGGAAACAAAGUUCUGCAGAUAAACACCAAUGAGACAAAAAACCACGAAUAAGAAAAAUGACAGAGAAGAAGAACCUUCCCAGAAGCCUCCUGCCAGUGAACGGCCACCAUAGCAAGAGCAUGGAGGCCCUGGGUUUUGAACUAUGAGAUAAGGAAGAUGAUGAAAACCUCCCUAGCAGCCAGGCAAGCACAAGAUUCCUGUGAAAUCCAGGUCUAAGUGUUUUGACUACAGAAGUAAUAUUAUGUCAUAGGUGAGAGCUGUGAGUUGCUGAACCCAAAGUGAGUUCAAAUCCAAGUUCUGCCUCCUGCAACCUUUGUGACUUUGAGAAGUUCCAACACCACUUUGUGCCUCAGUUUUCUCAUCUGUUAAAUGGGCAUAAUCACAGCUCUUGCCUCAGAGUUGUUGUAAAUUAAUACAUGUAAAGCACUGAAAUCAGCCUGGUAUACACUAAGUGUUAUGAACGUUAUUUUCUUGGAAGGACAGAACUUAUUUUCAUGGUCUAAGCCAGAAAAUCUAAAAAAUGUGAGAGAAGAGGAAAGAAUCUAGAGUGUCACCAUGAGGAGGAAAAGUCAACUUGAAGCAGGACAGGGUCAUUGACAAUUUCCUGUGAUUCUACAGCUGCCUUGUAAACUAUGGUAGCUCCUAGCCACUUGUCGUUUAGAUUUUGUGCUUUAGAAAUGAAUUAAGGCCGGACAUGGUGGCUCACACCUGUAAUCCCAGCACUUUGGGAGGCCAAGGUGGGCAGAUCACCUGAGGUCAGGAGUUCAAGAUCAGCCUGGCCAACAUGGUGAAAUCCUGUCUCUACAAAAAUACAAAAAUUAGCCGGGCAUGAUGGUGGGUUCCUGUAAUCCUAGGUACUCAGGAGGCUGAGGCAGGAGAAUUGCUUGAACCUGGGAGAUGGAGGUUGCAGUGAGACAAGGUUGUGCCACUGCACUCCAGCCUGGGGAAUAGAGUGAGAUUCUGUCUCAAAAAAAAAAAAAAAAAAAAAAAUUAGUUAAAAUAAGAGAAAAUUGAAAAUUCAGCUCUUCAUUCUCACCAGCCACAUUUCAAGGGCUCAACAGCCCAUGUGGGUGGCUAGCAGCUCCCAUAUUGGACAGUGCAGAGUAGAGCAAGUCUGCCAUUGCAGAAUGUUUGAUUGGACCAUGACCGAAUAGUCUAAUGCAGUGGUCCCCAAUUUUUUUUAGCACCAAGGACCAGUUUCCAUGGAUUUGUGGGGGGAAGUUUCGGGAUGAUUCAAGUGCAUUAAAUUUAUUGUGUACUUUAUUUCUAUUGUUAUGAACAUUAUAAUAUAUAAUGAAAUCAUUAUACAACUCACCAUAAUGUAGAAUCAGUGGGAGCCCUGAGCUUGUUUUCCUGCAACUAGAUAAUCCCAUCUCAGGGUGGUGGGAGACAGUGACAGAUCAUCAGGCAUUAGAUUCUCAUAAGGAGCACACAACCUGGAUCCCUUCCACAUGCAGUUCACAAUAGGGUUGUUGCUCCUAUGAGAAUCUAAUGCCACUGCUGAUCUGAUAGGAGACAGAGCUCAGCCAGGGGGAUCAGCUGUAAAUACAGAUGAAGAUUCACUCGCUAGCCUGCUGCUCACCUCCUUCUGUGCAUCCCAGUUCCUAACAGGCCACAGACCACUACUGGUCCGUGGUCUGGGGACUAGGGACCUCUGGUCUAUUGGAUAACACUGGCUUGGAGCAUACUGAUCAGCCAAAGAAGCACUGAGAUGAUUUGGCCUCCAUUAGUAAGAAUGAUGGACUUUUUUUUU
This is a long non-coding RNA of Pan troglodytes (chimpanzee), 8314 nucleotides long. RefSeq lists it as uncharacterized. The transcript has 4 exons. Lineage: Eukaryota; Metazoa; Chordata; Mammalia; Primates; Hominidae. The record is from RefSeq and is a predicted model, not a curated record.